Non-coding RNA from Cajanus cajan (pigeon pea), 2901 nucleotides. Lineage: Eukaryota; Viridiplantae; Streptophyta; Magnoliopsida; Fabales; Fabaceae. The record is from RefSeq and is a predicted model, not a curated record.
AGCACAGUAUGGCCGUCACUGUUUCAAAUUCCAAGUCAUUGUCCUUUUCAUCAUCCUAUGGAUCAACAACACCAAAUCCAAUUACCUUCUUUUCUUAAUGGCAUUCGAGUUUUGGUCUCCAACCCAAAACUCGUCAUCAUCGUCAUCAUGCUCCUCAAUUAACCAGAUCCAUCCAUCUCUGAAACCCUAAAAUCUCUCCCGAAAUGCCAUGCCCCCCAAAGACAUGGUCUUUGCCAGAAUCGCAUCAUUCCCCAACAGCCUCCGCAUCUCCUCCUCCCUCCAGGAUCUCUCCUCCUACCGCCACCUCGCCACCGCCGCCGCCGCACCCCAACCCAACACAACCUCCUCACGCAAAAAAUGCCUCAGAUUCUCACUCUACCUCGCUUCCUUACUCUUCCUAACCUACCUCUUCUUCCUCCUCUAUUCCUACUGGAACCACGGUUCCGGCAACUACUACGUUGUCCUGGAUUGCGGCAGCACCAGCACGCGCGUCCACGUCUACCACGCCUCCGUUCGCUUCACGCGCCAUAGCAGUCUCCCAUUACAAGUCGCCUCUCUCAGGAACACCUUGCGCAAGAAGCCUAGUGGCCGCGCCUACGAUCGCAUGGAAACCGAACCUGGUCUCGACAAAUUGGUUCACAAUGUCUCCGGUUUGAGAACCGCUUUGAAACCGUUGCUUCGGUGGGCCAAAAAGCAGAUACCACUGCACUCUCACAAGUCCACUUCGUUGUUCCUUUAUGCCACUGCUGGCGUGAGGAGGCUUCCCUUUGGGGACUCUCAGUGGCUGCUUGAGAAUGCUUGGAAUGUGCUAAAGGACUCUCCUUUUGUGUGUCAGAGGGAUUGGGUUAAGAUCAUCUCUGGCCCUGAGGAGGCUUAUUUUGGCUGGAUUGCUCUUAAUUAUGAUAGUGGCAUUUUGGGGGUUAGGCCUAGGAAGGCUACUUAUGGUGCCCUUGACUUGGGGGGUUCCUCGUUGCAGGUCACGUUUGAGAGUGAUCAGCAGAUGAAUAGUGAGACUAGUUUGUAUGUUAGGAUUGGGUCUGUGAGCCAUCACCUCACUGCGUAUUCGCUCGCGGGGUAUGGACUCAAUGAGGCGUUUGGUAAGUCUGUGGUGUAUCUCUUUAGGAAGGAGUUUGGAUUGGUUGGUGUAGAUGUAGGUAGUAGGAAGGUAGAGUUGAAGCAUCCUUGCUUGCAGGAUGGGUAUAGGGAGGAGUACUUUUGUUCUCGUUGUUCGGGUAAUGCCAAAGGUGGGAAUGGGAAAGAGUUGGGUAGGAAUGGAGGGUUGGGAACUUCAUUAGUGCUUCUUGGUGCUCCUAAUUGGGAGGAAUGUAGUGCGCUUGCGAAGGUUGCUGUGAAUUUCUCUGAAUGGUCUGAUCUUGGUGGUGUGGGGCUUGAUUGUGGUGCGCAGCCUUGCGCUCUGCGUGAAAAUCUGCCUCGCCCGUAUGGGCAUUUUUAUGUGAUUUCUGGAUUUUAUGUGGUGUAUAGGUUUUUCAACUUGACUUCUGAGGCUAUGCUUGAUGAUGUGUUGGCAAAGGGUAAGGAGUUUUGUGGAAAGAGAUGGGAUGUUGCGAAGAAAAGUGUUGCUCCGCAACCCUUUAUUGAGCAGUACUGCUUCAGGGCACCCUACAUUGCCUCUUUGCUGAGGGAGGGUUUGCACAUUAAUGAUAACCAAAUAACUGUUGGGUCUGGAAAUAUCACUUGGACACUUGGGGUUGCCCUUUUGGAAGCUGGAAAGGCAUUUUCCACUAGAUUUGGGUUUCGUGACUUGGAGUUUUUCCAGAUGAAGAUAAAUCCCCUUGUUCUUGUGCCCAUUUUGUUGCUUUCUUUUAUACUCCUUCUUUGUGCUUUAUCAUGUAUUGGCAAUUGGAUGCCAAGGUUUUUCCGGAGGCCAUUUCUUCCCAUUUCCAGGCAUAACAGUGUUUCUGGUGCUUCUGUCCUUAAUAUACCAUCUCCUUUUCGGUUCCAGCGAUGGAGUCCAAUUAACUCUGGGGAUGGAAGAUUAAAGAUGCCACUCAGCCCAACAGUUGCAGGUUCACAACAUAGCCCGUUUGGUCUAGGGCAUGGGCUUGAUGACAACAGUGGUGGCAUCCAGCUUAUGGAGUCUUCAUUGUACCCAUCAACUAGUAAUGUCUCACAUAGUUAUUCCUCAAACAGUUUAGGACAAAUGCGUCUACAGAGUAGGAGAUCACAGUCUCGAGAAGACCUGAAUUCCUCAUUGGCUGAAGCUCAUCUGGUGAAGGUUUAGGGCAUCAUCUUCUCAAAACAUUGAGGUUUUUGUCAUGGAGAUGAUUGUAGCUAAAGGUGCAGCCAGAUCAAUUGAUAAUUUGCAUCUCCACAAGAUCACUUCUAAACUGGAUUCCUCCGCGAGUUGCAUAACAUAAAUGAGCACUCUUAUUCUAGGUAUCGGCUCAUCUAUACAAACUCUACGUGGUGGCUUCUUGAUGUCUCCAUGUUCUGCCUCAGCGGUUUAGGUUUUUUGGUGCCCCUAUGCCUUCUGAAGUUAAGUCAAGCAUCAGAGACUAACAAGCACAAGAAAGGAUAUGUUUCCUGAUAUUGCCAUGAUCAAUUAAUUUUGCGACUGUUUCUAUACCAUUCUUUAGACUCAUUAACUAUCAUUACUACAGAGAAUGUCUUUUUGUUUCAUAGGCUUCUGAAAAAUUGACUUCACAAAAAAUAAAGGCUCAUGCUAUUUUCUAGGUGUUUAAACAAGUCGAACCAAACUGAAGGCCGAAGCUCAAGCUUUGCGUGCGUAAAAAAUAUUAUUUUCAAGUUUAGUUCAUUUAUAUAACCCUUAAUUGUAGGUUUGGUUUAGAUUUUGCAAUAGUUUAGUUUUAGUUCUUUUGAUAGAUUUUUGGAUUCGUCCCUACUUAGAAUGGACUCUGUCAUUGAACGAUAAGACUUGGU